RNAcentral lists this ribosomal RNA (253 nucleotides) under uncultured bacterium. RNAcentral describes it as "partial 16S ribosomal RNA". It matches the Rfam family "Bacterial small subunit ribosomal RNA", at positions 524 to 776 of the family's 1533-position model. The record is from RNAcentral.
UACGGGGGGGGCAAGCGUUGUUCGGAAUUACUGGGCGUAAAGGGCUCGUAGGCGGCCAACUAAGUCCGGGGUGAAAUCCUCCAGCUCAACUGGAGAACUGCCUCGGAUACUGGGUGCCUCGAGGGUGGUAGGGGUAUGCGGAACUAUCGGUGGAGCGGUGAAAUGCGUUGAUAUCGAUAGGAACUCCGGUGGCGAAGGCGGCAUACUGGACCACAUCUGACGCUGAGGCGCGAAAGCCAGGGGAGCAAACGGG